CCUACGGGGGGCUGCAGUAGGGAAUAUUGCACAAUGGAGGAAACUCUGAUGCAGCGACGCCGCGUGAGUGAUGAAGGCCUUCGGGUUGUAAAGCUCUGUCGCCCGGGAAUAAGACAUUGAAUGUACCGUGCAAGAAAGGAUCGGCUAACUUCGUGCCAGCAGCCGCGGUAAGACGAGGGCUCCACGCGUUGUUCGGAAUUAUUGGGCGUAAAGCGGGUGCAUGUGGCUCUGUAAGUCAGGUGUGAAAUCCCAGGGCUCAACCCUGGAAGUGCAUUUGAUACUGCAGAGCUUGAGUGCUGGAGAGGUAAGUAGAAUACCUAGUGUAGUGGUGAAAUACGUAGAUAUUAGGUGGAAUACCGGAGGCGAAGGCGGCUUACUGGCCAGACACUGACACUCAGACCCGAAAGCGUGGGGAUCAAACAGGAUUAGAUACCCCAGUAGUC
This 443-nucleotide ribosomal RNA is filed under the name uncultured bacterium. RNAcentral's name for it is "partial 16S ribosomal RNA". It matches the Rfam family "Bacterial small subunit ribosomal RNA", at positions 338 to 795 of the family's 1533-position model. The record is from RNAcentral.